GCGGUUAUGGCGGAAUUGGCAGACGCGACGGGUUUAGGUCCCGUUUCCAGCGAUGGAGUGCAGGUUCAAGUCCUGUUAACCGCA
Molecule: transfer RNA, 84 nt
Filed under: Lachnospiraceae bacterium
Lineage: Bacteria; Bacillati; Bacillota; Clostridia; Lachnospirales; Lachnospiraceae
Also listed under: 1 other name
Description: tRNA-Leu
Rfam family: tRNA
About the family: Transfer RNA (tRNA) molecules are approximately 80 nucleotides in length. Their secondary structure includes four short double-helical elements and three loops (D, anti-codon, and T loops).
Source: RNAcentral